Apis cerana (Asiatic honeybee) is the source of this 980-nucleotide long non-coding RNA. RefSeq lists it as uncharacterized. Lineage: Eukaryota; Metazoa; Arthropoda; Insecta; Hymenoptera; Apidae. The record is from RefSeq and is a predicted model, not a curated record.
AGCAACCACACCCUCAUUUGCAAUUGUUGUCCCUGUUUUCAGUUUGCCUUUAAGAUUCGCUUCUCCUCGAGAUUAUUCCCGAAGAAUAAUUAACUUCGUUCGGACGAUUCUUUCGCGAAGGGAUUUUUUUUCUUACAGCCUUGGGGAUCUUGGUCGUCGUGCUCUUGAAACGAAUUUUUUGGGGGCAAAUUGAAAGAUCCUUUUUUCGGGAGGGUUUGAUAAAUUUGGAAAGAAUAUUCGAUAAAUGUGAUAUUUUAAUAUUUUGUUAUUAUUGAAAAGAAUUUUAUUUGAUGAAUAUUUUAGUGAUACUACGUAUAAUAAACAAUUAAUUAAUUAAUUUAUGUGUUUUUAUGUAGGAAAUAAGAUUAGAAUUCAUUGUAUCUAAAUAAUUCGAUUUAAAUCGAAUUUGACUACUUCUUUCCUAUUUGAUAAAUAAUUCUUCUAAGCCUUACUAAACAAAGUGUGGUGAAUUUGAAUGAACGAACUUCAAAUAUGAUGGAUAAAAGAUCACGGAAUAUUUACUAAUUAGUUAUAAUUACGUGAAUAAUUCAUCAUAUUUUAUUAAAAGAAAUACGUAACUUUAAACUGAGGGUCACCCCUUGAAUCUCGUCCUAAUUAGCUGUAAUUAGGCGCGAACGGGAAUGGGUUGCAACUUUAUAGAAGUCGAGGGGAAGAAAGUCGAGCUGAUCAUUAUGAGGUCUGAAUUACGCGCGAUAAUUUCACAGACAAUCGAAGAGGAAAUGGCCGAGAGGAUACUUCGCGAGAAUUAAUCAGCGACUAAUUGAUUCUGUAGAGAUUAAGGUCAUCGUCUUGAAAUGGCGACCCGAAAAACUUUUAGCUAAUUAAAAUUAAUUGGCUCCGUGUUGCUGAAAUCUUUCAGGGUGAUAUUUUUGUUCCGCGAGUAAAUAAAUGAAAAUUAAAAGAUUCAUUUACAUUUUCAUAUAUUUUACCGCUAAUUGUAAUAAAAAGUAAAAAAGAUA